Rattus norvegicus (Norway rat) is the source of this 19595-nucleotide long non-coding RNA. RefSeq lists it as uncharacterized. Lineage: Eukaryota; Metazoa; Chordata; Mammalia; Rodentia; Muridae. The record is from RefSeq and is a predicted model, not a curated record.
GGUGCUCCUCCUCUGAGGGCGGCUGCUCCUGGUGGGGCCCUGGAUUCAGGCCACAGCUCUCAGCCACGCACAUGACCGCCUCUUGGCAGCUGAGUAGCAACAGAGACACCACCGAGAAGCAUUCUGUCCCCUGGCAGCACAAACUAGAGGCCCUGCAGGACGCUGAGAUAAAAAGGCCUCUCAGCACUGCUUCCUUUGCUCUCCAGGCAAAGGUAGUGCAACUUCCCCGUGCGAGUUGAUUUUUAAGAUCCUAGGUCGGUCCCCCAACACUUCACUGAAUGAUCGACUUGUCAGCUAAUUUGAUUGUUUUCCCUCUUGACAUUUGCAAGACAUAGAUUUUUCUGUGUUCUUUCUCUCCUCUGCCUACUUUGCCCCCUUGGAGGCUGUCUGGGAAGGUAUAUUUCCCUCCACACUGUUAGGAAAGACAGGGGGUGGGGAGGUGAUACUCCCAGCAGUCAUUUGUACCUAAAAAUAAGUAAAUCAAGCUAAUAUGCUAGAGAUUCAGAGAGAGCAUCGGAAGGUUACUCACCUGUGCAGGGAAAUUGGUUGAGGCAUUUCCAUUUUCCUCUCAACAGGGUAUAUAUAAAUUUUUCUUCUUCCUCGUGCUCGCAAACCCAAAAGACAUCCUCGGCCAGAGUUGAUUAGAGGUUUAUAAGAAGAACCCCACCCAAAAAUGUUUGGAAUGCACCGACUUCUAAUGACUCUGUUCAGCCCCUCUCAACCCUAAGCAGAAUUCCCGAAGCUAACACAAAUGAUCAGAUAAGGAAACCUGGCCUUUGAAGCAGUCAAGCCGGUUCUCAUUCUCACCAUAAUUCCUGGAGGUCACAGAUUGGAGGAUCUAAACAAGGUGGGACCAAUGAGAUUAGAUGACCAUUUCCUUGCUUCCUACGUUUUGAAAUUCCGGGCCACUUGCUGGAGAAGGCCUUUAAGACAGGAGAUCAGACGACAGAUCUACCGGAUAACAUAGCUAUGCAAAGCUUCUGCGUGUCAAGAUGCGGGGAAUAUAACUAUGGAGACGACUGUAGAGAAACAUGUCCCUGUAUCAGACAAGUGACAGGCCAACGCAAGUUUUGAAGAAUUAUGAUUGAUUCCUCAAAUAAUUUUUCAGUUUUUAUUUAAAGGAAAGUCUUAGCAUUUGAUUUUGGUUUCUGAGAUCCUUCCAGACUGAUUUCCACAGUGGCGGUCCUAGUUUUCAGUCCCAUUAACCGCAUGGAUGACAAUUUGGCACUGGACAACCAACUGCUGUGCAUUUACCUGGAGAAUUUAAGCUCUUCUGUUCCCUACUUUUCUCAGUUGCCUGUUCUUCCUUGUGGAAGCUUAAGGCCUCACGGUCUUUUCUUUUAGCAUGUUUGUUGGUGUCUUUCUUGUUCAGCUUGUGUGGGUGGUUUUGUUGGUGAGACUUUGCCUGUACAGUUUCCAGGGUUAAUCCGAGAAAAAAAUAUAAUAUAAUAUAUAUAUAUAUAUAUAUAUAUAUACGUUCAAACACUAUGUAAAUAUAUGCUAUGUAUUUUGAUAUGAUCCAUUUCAUACUGAAAUAUUUUAAAAUAGAUUUAAAUACAGUAAAAUAAAAUAAUGAGAGGUGUAUAGGCUCGACACAAAAACAUGUGUUGAGUAACCGAAAUAAUAACUUGAGUGAAUGAAGGAAAUGCAUUUUUCAGUAUAAGAUCCAUUUUCAUGAAAAUGUCAAAGAUAUAGUUUAAAAUGUCAAAUUUGUCAGAAUUCUCUGCUAACUUUAACAAUGCAUGUGGUGGCUUUCAGCUUCUUACAAACAGAUCAGUUGUAAGUUCUUUCAUUGUUUCUCUGAAACGUCUUUCGUUUUUAAUCUUUCUCUGAAAAGUACAACUAACUUCAGUAAUUGGCUAGCAUCUCACUGCCCACCUGGAGUGAGUUCCCAGUUGAUGGAUGGGGCCUAGUACUCUCCUGGUUCUGCACUGCGAGGCGAUCUCCAGCUACAGCAAUGCCACACAAUUGGUUUUGCUGCAACCCAUGACUUUAAAGAAUAUGACCGGAAAUGAGGCCUCUAAUUUCUCAAAUCAUGCCAGUGAAUAUAGCAUCUUCUCAGCUUUAUAUCCUAAUUAAAAGAGUGUCAUAUCUAGAAAGGGUUUUAAGUGACAGUGUUUAUCAAGCUGUUUGCUUAGUGAUCUCUUUAGAUGCACUGUUAUAAAAAAACUGUCUUAAUUAAGGUUAAUUGAAACAUAAUUAAAGUCACUGCUGAUGGAAAAGAUCCCAUGAGUGGUACCACUGUGAGGAUCCCUAAUGUUCAUACUGGUAGACUAAGGCACUGCAAGAAACCAAAUGUCAAACCACGCUUUGCUUCCAACAUAGGAUAUGCCUUGUGCUCCUACCUGCUUGGAGGAGUGAAUAUUAUUCAUGUACUUGGAAAUCUCUUGUGCAAUUCAUUUUUAAAAUUAUUGUAUAUAUUUCAGAUUUAUACCAUUUAUGCUUUGAUGUAGGAAAGAAGUUAAAUGCAGCAAUACCAAGUAACACAUCUAUCAUUUUACAUAGUUUUCUUUUAAUUUGUGUUGUAAAAGCACUAUUUAUAGUUUUAUAAAGAGUCUCUGAAGCCGGAUGUGAUACUGUUCAGCCAGGGUCCUAGCACUUGGGGGAUGAAGAAGACAAUCAAGAGUUCAAGGGCAGCCUCAGUUACACAUCAAACCAAGGAGACAUAAGGUUCUACUUUAAAAAUCAAAUCAACGAGAGAAACAGAGUCCUCAUAACAUUUUCUCUAAAGUGCAUCUUCGUUCAUACCAACAGCGUGAAUGAGUUUCCUUUUUUCACAUCCUCACCCGCACUUUCAAUACCAGCUCAUCACUAUUCUCGUCCCUGCCUCUUUGUUUAUUUCAGUCAUCUAUUCAGGCCUCUGAGGUAUGAUGUGCCAUCUAGAUAUGGUUUUAACUUGAUUUUAUUAAUUGAUUAUAAAUGCUUUAUAGCCUUUAAUGUGCUUAUGUAACAUUUUUUGUGUUUCCUUCAUAGGAAUAUCUAAAUACUUCCUUUUCCAGUUUUAAUUGAACCAUUUACAUGCAGACAUUGCCAUUGACUCACACUGUGCAAACGUCCUUAUCAAAGCCGAUGUCAUGCAAGGAACAGGCCUUAUGGCUUUUUUCAUUUAUUUUUACUUUUUCAUAAAAUAUCUUUGAUCCUAUUCUUUUUUUUCUUAAUUUUUUCUAGCUCCUCCCUAUAUUCAACUCCAUGCUCUCUCUCUUUUCUUUCUCUCUUUCAAAAAGAAAAAGAAAAACCAACUUAAAACACAAACAAACAAAAAGUCAUAAAACCCCUCAGAGUCUUAUAACGUAUUCAGCUUAAAUUUAGAUUUUUAAUUCAUUGUGUUGAAUUUUGAGGCUGAUGAUAUUUCACUUUCAUUUUUCCAUGUAUGUAGCUUUGUCAGUCCAUUUAUUGGUAACACUACCAGGUCCCUGUUGGGUUUUCUUGACACGCUGUUAAAAACUUGACUUGCUGAUUUCAUAUGUUCUUUUUAUAUGUCUAUUUUUAUAGCAUUACUACAUCUAAUCAUGGAUAAUUUAAAUGUAUCUGUUCAUUUAUGUAUCCUUUUUAUGUUUUAAAUAUGCAUGUAUUUUAUUUUAUGUAUAUGAGUGUUUUGCCUACAUGAAUAGCUAUGGCUACCCGCCUGCUCAGCUCUGGAGUGUCAGAUCCUCCAGGACUAGAGUUACAGAUGGUUGUGAUCCAACAUGUCUUCUGAGAACUGAACAUAGAUAGUCUACAAGAGCAGCAAGCACUCUUAGACACUUAUCCAUCUUUUCCUUAACAUCUUCAUUAUGUUUUACAAUUUCAUUGUACAUAUCUUUUGGUUACCUGCAGGAUAAAAUCAACUAAACCUACUGUGUGAGCUUCUUUUCUUUGCAAAAAGAGAGAAAUGGAGUGGGUAGGAAGGUGGACCUAGAGAAAAGAAACGCUCUUUUUUAUUGGUCAUCUCUAAUGUGGUGGACUAAAAAGAAGACAGUAACUUGACCCCACAUCUGUCUGACUAGAAAGAAAAGAGUAGCUUAGCCCCACAUCUGUAGCAUGUAUAAAGCAUGAUAGAGGACACACUAAUGGUGAGAGAAGUCAGAAUACUACUUAUCUGCACAUUUUUCCACACAGCGUGAAAGCACCUACCUAAGAACUGACUUAGAAGCCGCAGACUACAGAUCUCUCAUGGGUGGUAAGGGUAGGGACUAGUUUAAAGUUCUUUUGUUUUUUAAUUUUCCAUUGUAUUUUUCAUUAAGAUUUUUGAAGGAUGUAAUAUAACUGACUUGCAUCAAAAAAAAAAAAACCCCACAAAUAACAUUUAAGUCGAAAUAUAUUCAAUUCCUUGUAAAAUAAUUCAGUUGAACCAUUUUUAUGAGUUUAUAAAUAUCUUGACACUAAUUUAUGUGAAGACCUAGAAGAAAUGGAUCUUAGAGCCGUGCUUGUUUAAGACUUUAUACUGAGUAUGACUGGGUAAGAUCGUGUGUUAAAUUCUUCUUUCUUGGAUUUCUGAAGCAGUUGCACAUCUGUUCACUCUUCUCUAGUUGGCUGUUGCUUUAUCAUUGUUUCAGAAAAUAUCUCCUUUCUGCUCCUCAGAGAGUUAAAAUGCUCAUAAAUUUGUAAGGUAAGUUUUUGGCAGGCCCAAUCCAGUUUAGCCUUCUGACAUGUUUAGAUAUUCUUCAAAGAAUACUUUACUGCUUGAGAGAACAGAUUUAUGGCUCAAUAGAGAAAGAAUAAUACAUGCCAUGAGGCACAUUGCUGGUUUUGUGUUCAGUUUGAAUAUGUUGGGUUUUUAGCCGAUGAACCUUUGAUAAAAUUAGCCCUUCAUUUUUUUUCUUGGCUCUCAUUGCAAUCCAAAAUGAAAAGCUCAAAGCCACCAGUAGUGUAUGUUUCAAUAAAGUAGCCAUAUAAAGUUCUUUUCAAGGUAGGCAGUUGAUGCUGCUCAUUUGGGGACUGAGCGGUUGUGACCACUAAAUGCUUGGCCUUUCAUUACAUGAUAACAAUGAAAAUUUGUAAAAAUUCCCAUCUCCAAAUGAAGCUGUGUUAUUAAUUAGAAGUAAGAGGUUCAGUGUCUGAGCUGGGCUGCCAGGUGGGUCUCUUUAUCUAAUGCUGCUUCUAACUUGUAAGACAUUGGAUCACAUGCUCAGAAGGCCAAGAACGUAUCACGAGACAGGCAAAUGUUUUUAAGCUAUUUAUAAAUUUUAAAUCUAAAAUGAUUUUUCAGAAUUUUAUUUUUCAAAACGUUAGUAAAUAUGUGGAAUUUGGAGAGCAUAUAUCUAAGCUAAUGGUGUAUGUCAUCAUCCCGUGAGCCGCCAAAAUUUACAAGUUUGUAGGAAAUUGAGAAGCAAUUCUAGGCAAAUUUGUGUGCCUCUUGCCCUGCUGAACAUGACUAAAUAUCCUUAAUGACCUUGAAGGCUGUUCAGGAUUUCGCCAUCACUCCCUGUAAUCAUUAAAACAAUGCUCUCAUUGAGCUGACCAACAACCCUUAACGGAAGGAGGCAUUGGCUGGUAUGCCUUUAUGCUGUGACACACUCCACUUACGUAUUGAACAGAAUCCUGAGAAAUCUGUUCACUAUUCACUCACCACAUACAUCUCAAAGUAUAGCACGAGGACACUGAUGACUUUUCCAGUGUCCCGAUAUUAGUGUUCCGUACGUCAGAGUUGCUAGAUGGAGCAUCUAUGGCGGGGGAAUGUGUACAUAGUUCUUAAAUCAUCUUAUUGUGGAGUUUCUUUCACAGGAAGCUGUUAGGAAAAAAAAAAAAAGAAAACACUUUCAAUGAUGUCAUUCCCCUUUCUAAUUAUAAAGGAGUACAAUUCUUUAUGGCUCCUGAUAAAAAUGUCAAGAAUUAAUCAGAACAGUGCAUGUUAGUCCUAUUUUCUAGGUAGUUUUUGCAUACAAAUUAAAUAAUUCUAAUUUACAUAACUGAAAGAAUGCUAAUAAUUAGAGAAAAAAAUCUUGACCAUUAAAAUUUUCUUUCCCGAUGGGCAAUACAGUAAGUGGAACAUUUCUUUGAAGUAAGACAGGAGAAAGACAUUAGAUUGAAUCAUCUGAAAUUGCCAUUUCUGUGGGUCAGUACUUGUUGCGUAUUGGCAAUUUCAUGUGGUUCAUCUAAACAGGUGACAGGCAGAUGCUUUUAUGCUAUUUAUAAAUUUUAAAUCUAAAAUGAUCCUGUAAGGACAACUUGUCUUUCACAUGAAGGCUGAGAUUUCCCAGAGAGCCAUAUUAUAGUGAUUUGAAUUUAAAAUAAUCUGUUUGUGAGAAGGCAGAGAAAAGGAGAGAUGUAGCCCUUAUCUCCUGUUAGACUGGAAAACGAAGUGCAGAGCCUGUCAAUGGAGUCGUUUUAUGAACUCCCAACACACAUUUGAAAAGCAAGGGUAUUCUUUUUCCUGAUAUCCAAGAUGGAUUUCAGAGAACUGCAUUAAAAUGGGAACCGUUUGGGGCGGCUUUCCCCUUUAUAGUUGGUUUCAAGCUACAAAAAAUCUUUGUAUAGGUCUCUGCAUUGGCCUAAGGAUGUACAAAGCUUUGUAUAAAUUUUUGCAUCAAUUUUGUGCAUUAAACGGGUAACCGUGAUGGGCUUUUGUUUAUUGCUCAUUUCAAGAUAUGCAAAACCUUGUUCUUAUGCAAUUAAAAUUGCUCAAUUGCAACUUCACAUUGAAAUGAGACCUACAUUUCCAUAGCCACUUAAACAGUAUACCAAACUAUGCCUAACUUCAAGGAAAUCUAUUUAAAUUGUUAAAAGAGUUUAAAUGCUUUGAACAUAAUUUCUAUAUCAAAAUAUUUUCGUAGUCAUCAGUAAUCUGGAUCCUUAAAUAUCUAUAUACUAUAUCUGAAUAAACGAGGUGUGUGUGUGUGUGUCUAUAUGUGUGUGUGUGUGUGUGUGUGUGUGUGUGUGUGUUUUGAACUCACAUCCAUAAGAAAUUUCAGAUAAUGGUUAAUCUGAGUUCAUACCUCUAGUGUUGUUCGUUUUACAGGGCACGUUUUUAAAUGCAGGCACUUACAAUUAAGAACCAAUUCAGUCCAAGCUAAUAAUUCAACUUUAAGAAUUAUACAGGUAAAGCUCUGUACUUAUAUGGCAACAUAUACUUGAUAUAUUACUAUCUAACUAUCAUGUAAUGUCCAUCUAUCAAGGUUUUGCAUAUUUUCCUUAGACAAAAGGAUUUACACCAUAUCAAUGUCCCAAGUAUCAAACGUGGGCUUUAUAUGCCUCAACUAAUUUAAUUGUCACAGCUCUACUAAGAACUAUGAUUCCCAUUACCUGUCCAUGGCUAUGAAGAAUCAAGUAGUUUGUGAUUAGAAGUCAGAUCUUACAUAUCAUAGUACAAGAAUUGCUCUGAAAUGCAUAAUGCAGUCAAUUUAGACACUUUGAAAUGUCCAGAAAUAAUGUUUUAUAUUUUAGUAACAACCUGUGAACUUUUCUAAAGCAUCGAUUCUUAUUUAGAAAAUGAGGGUAAUGGAGAAACUUCUGGACCAAUCAUCCUACCAGGAAUACUGAGAUUCUACCCUAUGGGAGGCAGAGUGGAUAAGGAAAGUUGCAGGUUGUACAUAAAAUACAAAAAGCAGUUUGAAGAGUAGCAGAUAUCCUAAAUAUUACUGUUCUACUAUAGAUUUCGUAUUUCCUUUAGAAGAGAAAAUCAAAUGGGAAUCAGGAGAUUUGAGGAAAUUUUGACAUUGUUUUUAUUUGGGUGAGCUCCACAAAGUAGAAAUAUGGAAGAGAUGGCCAGAAGUAGGACAAGUCCUGAUGAAAUAACGGAGAGUGAAGAGGAUGGAGUUUGUGGAGCCUGAGUCACCACUGUACACUGAAUGUACUGUAGAAAGAGGCUUGCUGGGAAAAUAAAGAUGAAGUAUUUGAGAAUACACUCUUUUUAGCAUAUAUAUCACUUGAAUCUGGUCACUCUUCUUUUCCCAGAAGCCAGAAGCCAGAAUGUACAUACUUGUUCAUGAAUGAACAGGAAGAGAAAAGUUCUUAAUUGCAGUCCCUCUUAGCUCAAAAAGGUUUUCUACUUCCCGAUUUUGCUUAGUGAAGAUCUUUUUGCCAUUUAGAACUUUUUUAAUGUCACAGCUUUAUCCUGGUAUUACCAGCAUCACCUGCGAGCUUGCUAGAAACACAAAUCUUUGCUCCCCAUCUUCGACCCAGUGAACUGAAAGCUGUACUUUAAUAAGACCAUUGAGCAACGUUUAUAUACAUUAAAGAAUCAUGGAUGCAACAAAAAGAUAAGUGCCCAGAAUGAAGGUCUGACUGAGGGCUUGAGUCUUGCCGCUUCACAGACUUUAAAGAAAGACAGACGUAUUUGCAGAAUCUCAGAAGAUAGAGCUCAGAGAGCACGAGGAUACGACUUAGGCAAAUCAGAGCUUCAAAAGUGAUCCAAAAGUAAGGGAAUUUGCAGCACAAUCCAACAACACUUGAGCAAGCUUGCAGCUCAGCACAGAAAUAAAUACAUUGAGAUUAAAAUAGUUUAGGAAAAAUGUUGGAUUCUCCUACAUUAUGAUGUUUUCAUUCUUCCACAGAAUUUUCUCUUAAGGACAUCUUAAAAUUAUCUUAAGCUUAUUGUUACCAAAGGUAAUGUUAUGAACAGCAUUAAGUCCCGUGACUUCUCUCUUCUGAGAUAUGAUACUAAGUUCUUUUUUUGUAGAUGGCUUAGAGGUUUUAUUAGCGUGCUGUGUUUCCAGAUUACCCCAUGAACCGUUGGUUUGAGUUAGAUUUGUAGACUUAUUUGGGCAGUUUUUACAUCAAUGACAUGUAUUUGUCAUGAGGAGCUGUAUGUGAAAGUCGAGCAUUGUAGGCAGGCAAUUCCAUUCUGAUCAGUUUGUUCCCUCAACUUCUAACAGCGUGUAUCAAGCUUGUUCUUAUAAUCAAAGCAUGAAUCCCCGAGGUUUUCAAGGCCAGUCCUCUGAUAUUCAGUCCAGUACUAUCUCAGUGACUUAUCUACUCUAUUCCACUGACCAAAGCAAGCCUCAUACCAGCACAACACACUCACAGGUGGAGAAAUACAUAGGAAAUGCCCUGACCUCACACUGCCAUCACAGCAACUAUCAUGAUGAGGAAAGUUAGUUCCCUUUUCCUAGUCAAUCUGCCAUGAUUUUAAAAAAAAAUCUGGAGUCUUUCAAUGAGAGGGUCCAUGUUCCAUUCAUAUUGAUUUCUCUAAUACCAUCUUGUUCAAUACACAUGGCGUUUUCAACAUUUAAUGAACAUCUUGGAAAAAUUAUACUUGAUCUUAUUUUUAUCUCUAAAUAAUCUUUGAAAUUCAUGACCAGAAUCCAAAUUCUGUUGAAAUGUGAUGCUUAUCGUAUUCAUGAGGGGAUCAGACCAUGUCACCUUUAAUGUGCUACUUUUGCUUUUGAAUUAUUCUGAGAUUUUUUUUUGUACAAAAAAGGAACGCUCUGAAAGCAGUCUCUUUAGCUGUCUCCUAGGAAGGCAGAGAUUUCCACUGUGAAGACAUUUUCCUUCUCAGUACCAAAAAGUGAAGGACUCUAAGUUUGCUCAUUUUCAUUUUAAUGAUGUCUCCCUCCCUAGUCUAAAAUUGUUGAGAACUCCAAGAUUGCUCAUCAUUGAGGAUGACACUGAACCAUGUCCACAUAAACAGCUUUCCUAAACAGCACAUCUGCCAUCCUUUCUCUCACAUAGUCCCCUAGCCACAAGGUAUAACUCCCUAGAAAUGCAAAACCACUUUUCUUUAUCUAAUCGCCUCUCCAUAACUUGGCACCUUUGUUAAAAGAGGAUAGAUAAGAUGCAGGUCUCUUCUGAGUCAACCAUUUCUUGAUAUUUUUUCUCCUGCUUCCCCCAAAGCACUUUUGCACUUAAAGUUUUUCUAUAAAUUUGUCUCUUAUCAGUUUAAUUUAUAAGCCUCAGAUGCAGAAACUAAAAGGAACAAGGAAAAGACUGUUUUCCUGUACACUUAUAAAAAUUGUACUCACUAGGCUAUAGAAAACAAAAUAUUUUUGUACCUUUAUUGGAAAAUAAGCCUAUUCUAUUUUAGCAAAAUUUCUCACAAAAUUUUCCCUUAAUUGAUAUUAUAAUAUAAUUUAUAAAGAAGACUUUUGUAGAAACACUUAAAACUUAAUAGUAUCAGCUGUCAGCUUUACAGAGCCUAAAGAUAUGAGAGAGUCUCAAAUGGCAGAUUGCCUCCAUCAAAUUGACCAUUGGACACUUUCACGGGGGAUGUUUUUGAUUUGCUAAUUGAUUUAGGAUGGCUAAACCCAGUGUGGGUAGAGCUAUUCCUAGUCAGAAAUUCUUGGACUAUGUAAAAAAAAAAAAACAAACUGACUUUUCAAUUGUUCAGAAUUGCAUUGUUCAUCCUGGAUCUUUUUUGCUUCUAUAUGAAAUUUAAGGUUUUUUUUUUAAAUUUCUGUGAUGAAUUACAUUAGGAUUUUGAUGGGCAGUGCAAUGAAUCUGUAGCUUGCUCUUGGGAUGAUGAACAAAUAUUUUUCCAUUUAUCCUAAUAAUCCAUGAGUAUGAGACGUCUUUCUAUCUUCUUUACUGUUUUCAUAUUUGCAUUGAAUAAGUCAUUUACUUCAUUAAAUGUAUUUAUUACAUGAUAAUUCAUUUUUCAUAGAUAAUUGUGAAUGAUAUGGCUUUCCUCUGUUCUUUCUCUUUGUCAUAUGUAGCUAAGAAAGCUACUGACUUUUUUGUUUAUUUUCUAUUGUAAUUUGCUGAGUGUGUUUAUCAGCUGUAAGAGUUUUCAGGUGGUGUUAUGGCCUUUUAUAGAAUCAUGUCAUAUACAAAUAAGACUAUUUUGACUCCAUUUCUCCCCUGUAUUUCCUUAGCUUGUCUUAUGCCAGUAAGAGUCCAAUGGCUAGGUUGAAGAGGAGAAAGCAAAAAUGGACAUGCUUAUCUUUUUCUUGAUUUUAAUGGAAUCUCUGAAACUUCUGGAUGUAACGCCAUCCCAGAUUUCUAGUUAUACCACAAAACUAUAGUAACAAAAAUAAAACAGCCUAGCGUAGGCAUAAAAGCAGGUAAGUUCAAUCAUAGAAUAGAAUUGAGGAUCUAUAUAUAAGCCCACACUCCUAAGGAUACUUGAUUCUUUACAGUGAGAUCAAAAUAUAUACUGGAUAGAAGACAUUAACUUCAACAAAUAGUACUGUUCAGAUUUAAUAAUAUUGAAUGUAAAUUAAUAAAACCAAUUUCUUGUCUUUUACUCUGUAUAACACUCAACUUUAAAAAGAUCAGUGACCUCAACAUAAAACCUGAAACCUUGACUUUCAUAAAGAAUAAAGUAUGGAAUAUGCUUGAACUCAAUGACACACACACACACACACACACACACACACACACACACACACACACACAGGAUUUUCUGAAUAAUUCACUAGUAGUGCAGACAUAAGAAUAGCCAGUUGACUAAUGGAACCACAUGAAAUUAAAUGUGUUUGCACAUCAAAAAUACCAUUGUUCAAGUGAAGAAGUAGCCUAUGGAAUGUGAGAAAAUCAUCUAUGCAUCUGACAGAGGGUUACAAUCUAAAUAUACAAGGAACUGCAAAAGUAUAAACCCACAAAAACAAAAGACCCAAUUUUAGAGUUCCAAAAAAGAUGAAAUAUAUAUGGUUGAGAAAUAUGUUUUAGAAGUUCAACAUAUUUAGCUAUCCAGGAAAUGAAAAUUAUAAUGACGUAGAGAUUUCAUCUUAUAUAGUCAAAAUGGCUAAGGUUAAGAAACAUGACGACAAGCACUGGCCCAAAUGUGGAGGGAGAGGAACAGUUAGUCAAUCCUCGAUAGGAGAGAGCUGUUGCAACUUUUCUGGAAAUCAGUGUGUAAGUUCCUAACAAAGCUAGAGAGAAGAUCUCCCAAAGAUCCAUCUCUUCCACUUUUGGUGCACAUACACAAAAGACUAUAUAGCCUUUUACAGAAGUACUUGUUUAUCAAUUUUCAUUAAGUUUCUAUUCACAAUAGGUAAGAAGUGGGAACUGACCAGAUGUUUAUCAACAGAUGAAUAGAUAUCAAUACAAGAUGCAAUUGAUUUAUGAGAAUAUACACAUAAGAAAAAUUGAAUUAGGAAAUUUGCAGAUAAAUGGAUAGAGCUAAAGGGAAUCAUUCUGAGACGUAAUCCAGACUCUGAAAAAAACAAACAUUGUAUUUCUUCUCUCUCUCUCUCUCUCUCUCUCUCUCUCUCUCUCUCUCUCUCUCUCUCCCUCUCUCCCUCCCUCCUUCCUUUCCUCCCUCCUUCCCUUCCUCUUUCUUCAUUUUCUUUUUUCCUGUCUCUUAUCAUUGAAUCUUUAGAUAUGUACAUCUCUUUUGGAAUACUUAUAGAGGUCAGGAAAUUCGUAAGUGACCAUGAUGAAGGGAUGUUUUCAAGAGAGAAAAUAAAAGAAUACAAUGAUGUAAAAGAAGAAAUGCCAAUAAUGGAACAGGAUGCCUUAAAAGUGUUAGGGAUGAAAGAGUAGGGUAAAGGAGAGGAUACAGGGAAGAGAAGGCUAACACCAAAAAGCUUUUGAAACUCAUAUAAAACACUACCACUGCAGAAGCUUCAGAAAUAUAUAUAUGUAAAUUAGUUGUAAAUAUAGUUAUCCUAUAAUGGGGAAACAGUACCCCUAAGACCAGAUACAAAGUCCAGAAUGAGUUGUUGGCUAGUAAUGUGCCAUAGACCCUCCAUCAUCAUUAUUAAAGACUCUUAACAUUGCCUUUGGUUACCCUGCAGGAUUUGAUGCAGAUUUUCUGUUCCUGAAGACGUCAUAUACUUGAACCACAGACCAUGGGCAAAUCAAGCUGCUCUUGACUUGAAAGUUUCACCACUAGCUUUCAUGGUGUUAGAAGGUGCUAUGCAUGUGGUGGAGGAGAAAAUAAUCAGUAGUCUUACUCAGCUGUGAAACCUUCUAGGUGCAAUAACAACCUGCCUGGUAAAAAUAUGCUCAUUGGUCUAAAAAUAGCAAAAAUGUCAUUGGAGUAACCAAUGACUUUCUGAUUAGAUUUAAAUCCCAUUUCACAAGAACCAAUACUAGACUGGACCUAGAUUCUGAGGGGAGAACCUACUUUAAUGUGCUUAUGGGAAAGAGAAUUAAACCGGUUCCUAUGAACUUGUCAUUAUACCUGUAAAUUGAUACAUCUCUUCACCCUCAUCAGAGAAGCCCCUCUUUGCAGCAGGUAUUGACUAACACAGAGAGCCACAACUGACCAAGGUGCAGAGAAGUGGCUGAAGAAUGCUCAGCUUUAAAUGAGCCAUCUAUACAGUAACUGCUCCCCCCCAAGGUUCAGGGAUCAUUGUAAAAAAGGGGUGGAGGGGAUUUUUAGAGCCAGAUGAAGUAGGUGACUACACAGAAAUUGUGUUUUCUGGACACAGCAGUACAGUUGGACAUAAGAACUAAAUAACGUUAUGCCAGGUUGCAUAAGACCUGAGCAAGCAGAAGCGAGACAAAAUGAAUGCAUAGACGGUAAAGAUGUGCAUAAUCAUCUCUCCUUGAUAUGUUUUCUCCCUGUGUUCCUGCUUCAGUUUCUGACCUGAAUUCCCUCAGUGUCAGAUUGUCAUGUGCAAGUAGAAAAUGAAAUAUAAACCUUCUUCCUUAAGUUGUUUUUGGUCAUGGUGUUUAUCAAAGGAGGAAAACAAUAACUUGGAUAUCAAAUGGAAAGAAAAUUAAGGUAUAGUGAUUUAUAGAAUACUAAAUUUUUGGUAAAUACAUUAGGAAGGUAAAAUUAUAACUUAUGUUAAACAUUUAUGUUUAUAUUUUAUAAUUUAUAUGUAUGUGUUUCCAAAUAUGUGUGUGAACAUGUCCAUGUGUAUAUCUAGUUUAAAAUAUGAUUUUAACAAAUUUAGUGUAUUUUAAUUUUUAAUAUAUUUCUAUUUACCAACUUACCCUGUAAUAUAAAUGUGUAGAUAGGUAGACACAUAGAUACAUAGACAGAUAGACAGAUUCAUAGAUACAUAGCUACAGUAAUAGUGACAAAUAUGAAGAUGGAUUGAGAUAAGGAAAUCACUUGUCUUUUUAAAAUAAACAACACACAUUUCCACAUAAUUAUUAAAUCAAUCUCUUGCAUUCUGGCAGGACCACAGUAAAAUUAUCCAGAAAGUUUAUGCAUGGAAGGGACUGAAGAUUUCAUUUUUUAAUUCACGUAAGUCAUUUCUUCUGGAGAAUGUUACUAGGAAGAUCAUUUCAUUCCCAGCCAUCAGAGCAGUGCCAUACGGGGACAAAGACCUCAUAGUGCUGGCAUCACUUCAGAAGUUAAGAAAAAUCCUGAAGAAAAUGGCCCAUUGGGAGUGGUUUUUUGUAGAUGCAGAGGCGGGGAAGAGGACAUAGGCUCCCAAACAAAUCUUAGGAAGCCUAGCGACUUCAAACAGUGGGCAAAAGCUCUAGCUCUCAGUUACACAGGGAAUACAGACAUGGAAGGGGCUAUCUAGAAAGGAUGUUCAGUGGAGCUAGCAUGGCUCUGAUUCGAACCCUUCCCUGUGAUGUCACUACAUUUAGGGUGAGAGGUAGCAGAACACUGACAAUUUCAUUUUAUCACCACUUUCUACCUUAGUCCACAGAUCUCUUCUUUGUCUUCUUUUUUUCUUUUCUCAUGUUUCAUUUCCCCCAUCUGUUUUUGUCCAUAUUCCACCAUAGGAAUCACUGCUAAUUACCCAUUGAUUAGCAUGUAAUCCCUUCAAAAUGCUCUUGAUUUUGAAGGUCAAAACUUCCCUUAUGGUUGAACACCAUCCCUAUCAACUUACUCGUCAGUAUUCUCUUCUAAAUCAUUUUAAGUCCAUCCACUUUAGAUUCUUUCCUCCUGAUUUAUAGGCACGGGAUGUCAGGGACUUUCUUCGGGCUAGUUCAUUUAAAUAUUAAAACAUUUCAUUAGUGUGCAACUGCCUUUAUAUCUCAGCCUUCAUGGCCUGUGCUUUUACUAAAUUAAUAGUCAGCACUUCCAUAGCAUUUGUGAUUUUUCAAAGCAAUGCACAAAUAUUAAUUAAUGCUAAUGCUACCCUAAGAGAAUGCUGUAACUAGCUAACUGACUGAACUUUAUCUUGAAUUAUUUUAAAAUAAUUUUCAACUUGGGAGGGAAGUUGAGGGGAGCAUACAGGCAUCUGUAGUGUUUGGUGUCAUGUGCUGCUGCCUAAAUGUAAUGAUGCAGCAAACUGAACUGAAGCAUCCACAGAGGAUAUUAAAGUUGGAUCCAUCUAGAAUUAAUCAGCUUGAAGAAUUACCUGUUGCUUAAACUGCAGCAACCAGAACAGUGCUUGGAAUACACAUGUAGAGAGAAAAAUUGCUUUUAUUCUGAGCAUCUUUUUUUCUCCCUCGACUUUAAUUAAAACCUGACAAUUCUGUUAUCCCUUCUUAACUUUUUAACAUUAGUUCCAAAUGCAUGAACGAUCAUAAAUGAUUAAUAGAUUAAAAAUAAGAUUUGCUCUGAAGUCAAUUAGUAAGCACUUAUUAAUGCCCACUGAGUACCAAACUCUGGCUUCUAAGACAAAGAGAAGAAAAUAAGACGAAUACAAACAACCUGGCAUUAGAGUAUUUUCAGAUUUAGCUCUAAGUCAAGCAAACACAUAAAAAUUUAAAGGGAAAAAUAUCACUCUGAGUCUAUAUAGUAUAGUGAGAAAGGGAGGAAUCCUCUACAAAGUAGAGUGGGGAGGGUGAUCCUUGUGGAUGAAGAAAGAGUUGUAUGUCAAGGAAGCAUUAUAUUUGAAACUGGGAGCUUUCAAAUGAGCCUUGGGUAACCUUGAAACAUAAAGAGACCCUUGGAAUGGUCUUGUACAGGAGGUAGUGAGAUCAAAGGUCAGCUCUAAACUAAGGGUCAUGAUUAAUAGAUAAUGAAAGUUGGAAAUUUCUGGACUCAAUGGGAGGAAAGAGAUUCAUUUGAGAAUGGAGUAUAACUAGAAAGUAAUCAUCAAUGAUCAGAGCUUAAAAUCGUAAUUAGUCAGUCUAAAUGAACAUAACCCUUCCAAGGGACGUGUGGCAGGGUUUAACCAUUGACAAAUGCUAUUAAAUGUGUUGAGUGCUACUGAGUUUUGUGAUGACCUUUAAAUUGUUGUUCUAGUCAUCUUAUAAUGUUCAUUCUUUGAAUAGGCAAGAUCAACAGGAGUAUACAUGUUGGUACUUGAAUUGUCAGGUAGAUCCUUCCCUAUGAUUGACAUCCCCAAAUGAAAACCUGACAACCAACUGGCUGAUUUUCUGGCCACAGGGCACACCAUUCUCUUGUCAGACUAGCUGGUUUGGAUUCACCAUGCUUACUUUUAAAACACUGUAGUUACAAGGAUCACUGCACAAAAAGCCAAGGGUUCCAUUCUAGUAUGUCUGGUCCUAUUUGUGUCCAUUUUAGACAACCUGGCAUUAAGUAUCAAGACACAACGGAUGCAAUGUAGAAGUUGUGGUUGUUCCUUAUAUAAGGUUUGGUACUGGUCUCUGGUAGGCAACUGCGUUAGGGGGGAACUAGAAGCUGUGCUAUGAUUGGUAUGACCAUAAUCCUUCAUUUUCUCCUUGUUAUGUAGGCAGUGUCUGUUGGAGUAAUCUGGCAGGCACCUCCAUGUGCUGUUCCUGGUGCUGCAGCAUUAGGCCAAUAAAGGAAUUCAUUCUUCCCAGUGUAGUUUUGUCUGUCGUGACUAGAGAAAUUGUCAUAAUAUAAAAAGAGAUGAAGAAGACAAAGAGUUUUGGAUGUAUUAAAAAAUAAAACAUAACAAAACCAAACCAACCAAACAAACAAUAAAGCACAAAGGAAGGAGGUGGAUGAGACAGAACAGAGCCAAGAGUCUGAAAGGCAGAAAGUUCAGGGAGUAGAAUGUGAAUGACUGUAGGCUCUGAUCGCUUGAAAAGUCACAAGGACUAAGCGGGCUAAUAUGUGAGGCAGGCUGAGGUUAGGAGGAUGGCCCAGGCACUUGGGAAUUGGGAGGGAUCUCCAUGGCCUUUGUUUCUGCUGGCAAUGCUCCUAUGAGGUGAUAUGGAGAUUUAGAUAAAGUGUCACACCAGAAGCAUGUGCAUUGGGCCCUAGGUAAAGCUGGCAUAAAAGUUGAAGCAAAUGAUAAGGAAAAGGUCAAGUCUGUUCUUUUAAAUCUUCGUCGGAUCACCUGAUUAAACAUUCUACUGUCAUUGCCCUCAGUGUGUAUUUUCCUUUAGAAAGAGAAUACGUGUCACGAGGCUUGGAUUUCCCUUUCUUAGCUUAUGACAGAUUUCUCUAAAUGACCUUCCUGUGAGAAUAAAAAUAAACACACCAAAGCACUGGAAAGCUGAACAGGUUCAAAUUUAUUACCGAGCUGACAAUGCAGUGCAGGUGGAAGAGGAGGGUUGCAUGUGCUCACAAAGUAGCGAUCAAACCAAUGUCAGUUUGUUAUCCAUGAGAGAUGAGUGGCUAUAUUAAAAACAGUGGUAUCCCUAAACUUCUCUCGUGUCCUAAGGGAAAGGCUUUCAUAUUCUUUGGGAGAUACCAAGGAAGCAGAAAUGGAUACUUCAGUUCUGAAUAGUUAGACAAAUUUAGCUGACAUCUGAGACUACAGUUCUUCCAACACAAGAAAACAAAGCUGAUGGUCCACACACAUUGUUGGCUUCUCAUUACAAGGUAUGAGACUCCCAUGUCUUCAAAGGAUAUGAUGUAGGUGUAUCUAGGCAUGAGAAUUUCUGACAGGAAAGAAAAUGAUGCUCACUUGCCGUGGGAAACUAAGUUUGAGAAUCUGAUUUUUCCCUUAAAAUGCAAAUGUUCUUUGAUAUUACUGAGGCGGUGUCUUUUGGAACCAUUUCAGGACCAACUCCACUUAUACCGUUAUCCACCACCAGGUUAUUCAAGGAUCUGCGCACAAAGCAAGACUUAUGCUCUAUCCUAAAUCUGCCAGCAGCAACUGUUAAGAAUACAAAGUACCAGAUAAACAACUUCCAGUAAUAACUUGGAUUUAAGAUGCUGUUGGAGAAAGUUAUGAUAUAGUCAGAACUUAUUCAGCCUGUGUGUUUAAUAAACUUCCUCCAGCCCUCACCCCUUUUACUUUCCCGCUGUGGAGAGAAAAUGAAGUCAGUUUUUGUCCUUCCUUGGAUUCAUCUUGUAAACUUCAGUACGAAAAAUAAAAUAGAACAUGGAUUUCAUAUUUCAGGGGGUCCUGCUUAAAGGUUUUUGAAGCCAUGUGAGAUACUAUGUUAAGAUGCAACAAAGGGAAGAAACUGGAAAUUAUAGAAGCUGAUAUUUAAUACUUAGGGAGAACUCAUCCAAUGUCUGUGUCAAGGGGACAGAAUGUUUCAUUAACAAUUAAACUAGCUCUGGAAUAUAUUCUCUAUUAUGCACCUAAAUAGAAUAAAUAAAAGUAAGAAACAUUCAAUAAUGAUUGCUUUGACUAAAGUAGUGACAUGACCAAAUUUUGAGAAUCUCAUAAAGGACAACACAACAAUACAUUCCACUUGUUCAAGACAUGAGAUUUGUCCUCUGUCAAUGCCCAUAAAACAUUACAAUAAAAAACACAAAAACCUCCCCAAAUUGAUCAUGCAAAUAAUGUCACUAUGUAGCAUCCGGAGGGAGACUCCACUAUCACUGCACAUUACAAAGGCUUAAUGUCAAUCAACCAGGUUGUUAUGUGCUUUUCUACUCUCUCAAAUAUCCCUUACUUAGUAGUGUAAUCUCUAAGAAACGCUUUAUUCUUGUUUUUUAAUCAGUUCUAACUGUGGAGAAAUCUACUUUUAAGAUACUAAAUAAAUAUAUCGUAUAGUUAGAAUGCUUAACUGAGGGCUUAAAUGAAGGAAUCUAUAUAAAACACAUUAAUUAGUAUGUAGCUUUCUGAUUCUUCAGAAAAAUAGAAGUCAUGAUAUUAUAAAACUAUAUAAGCCCUCUUCACCCUUUGAAUCUCCAUUCGGGAUUUGAACAUGUGCAAGAGAAUAAAGUGGAUUAGAGUAAGUAACUUGCUGUCGUCACUGUGACAAAAAAAUGAUUUUCCUCUGGAUUUCUGGGCUUUGUAUCAUAUCAUAGGGAAUGAUGGCUAAGCAUUCUGGGAAUUGAGAUUUUUGUAGCGCUCUUGUGUGCAUGUAACACACCUUGGUUAGAUCCAUACCAUCACACACACACACACACACACACACACACACACACACACCAAUAAAUUUAAAAACAAACAAACCAAAAUGUCAGUAAGAUUUCCCAAAGUCGUGAAGUUAGUGCUGGAAUAGUAAUGAUAUCCAUCUCCUUUGGCUCCAUAUCGAGGAGUCACUGUUUUACAAAGUUAGAUAAAAAACAAAAGUCCUCCCACUUGGCACAAACUGUAGAUGAGUCUGACAAUGUAUUUAAUGUACUCAUCUCCACUGCUAUUACUGAAAUUGUUUCUGGCUUGUGCUAUUUUGCAUCAGAUGAAUUGGAAAGAAAACAAGCUAUUGAUUUUCCAAAUCUGCAAGUCAUUGAACUGUUGACAGUCAGCAGCACUACAAUCGUAGUUAUCACUAAAACAUUCCUCUGACCAUGAAGAAGAGAGGUCACUUUGAUUCCCAAGGUCUGUGUCAAUAUGGUUCAAAGGAUGACUGGAAUUAGCAAGGUAAAAGGAGGUGCAAGGUGGGCUAAUGAGAGAGAAGGGUAUUUUCAUAAAAUAUGUUCAGACACCGUCAAGAAAGAAAAUGUCUGGCAGAAAGUAGGUCAUGGCUCACUUUGUUACUAUUAUUUUUUAUGUAGAAGACUGUAGACCUUUUUUUUUUUUUUACUUUUUUUUUAUUAACUUGAGUAUUUCUUAUUUACAUUUCGAAUAUUAUUCCCUUUCCCGAUUUCCGGGCAGACA